Molecule: transfer RNA, 76 nt
Filed under: Candidatus Komeilibacteria bacterium
Lineage: Bacteria; Candidatus Komeiliibacteriota
Description: tRNA-Lys
Rfam family: tRNA
About the family: Transfer RNA (tRNA) molecules are approximately 80 nucleotides in length.
Source: RNAcentral
GCGCCGUUAGCUCAGCUGGUAGAGCAAUUGCCUCUUAAGCAAAUGGUCGGGGGUUCGAAUCCCUCACGGCGCACCA